RNAcentral lists this transfer RNA (73 nucleotides) under Pteropus alecto (black flying fox). It matches the Rfam family "tRNA". From Rfam's summary of the family: Transfer RNA (tRNA) molecules are approximately 80 nucleotides in length. Their secondary structure includes four short double-helical elements and three loops (D, anti-codon, and T loops). Further hydrogen bonds mediate the characteristic L-shaped molecular structure. tRNAs have two regions of fundamental functional importance: the anti-codon, which is responsible for specific mRNA codon recognition, and the 3' end, to which the tRNAs corresponding amino acid is attached (by aminoacyl-tRNA synthetases). tRNAs cope with the degeneracy of the genetic code in two manners: having more than one tRNA (with a specific anti-codon) for a particular amino acid; and 'wobble' base-pairing, i.e. permitting non-standard base-pairing at the 3rd anti-codon position. RNAcentral also lists the same sequence under 1 other name. The record is from Rfam by way of RNAcentral. Lineage: Eukaryota; Metazoa; Chordata; Mammalia; Chiroptera; Pteropodidae.
GGUUCCAUAGAGUAGUGGUUAGCACAUCUGCUUUACACGCAGAAGGUCCUGGGUUCGAGCCCCAGAGGAGCCA